CUUUCCAGAUUUUUUAAAGCCAUUAAGAUACAUCAUUGUCCUGUUGGGUUUGGCAACUCUGAAGAUGACAUCAUUGUGUGUUGUAAUCCUGCUGCGGAGGAAGGCUGAAGCAUGAGGCCCACUGAUGAAGACGAUGCUACAGCAAAGUACAAAAACAUUGCAUUGUCUCCCGUUUGUGUUGUGAGCCAGUCAUAAAAAUUGGGGGCUUGUCCGGGAUUUGAAUCUGGGACCAUCAAGUUGAAUAAGCAAAUUUAACAUGGUUAAAGUUUAAUCCACAUGAGCUAUAUGAAC
Long non-coding RNA from Xiphophorus couchianus (Monterrey platyfish), 291 nucleotides. RefSeq lists it as uncharacterized. The transcript is spliced from 3 exons. The record is from RefSeq and is a predicted model, not a curated record. Lineage: Eukaryota; Metazoa; Chordata; Actinopteri; Cyprinodontiformes; Poeciliidae.